AAACCGAGGGUGCGAGCGUUAAUCGGAAUUACUGGGCGUAAAGAGCGUGUAGGUGGAUAAUCAAGUCGGAUGUGAAAGCCCCGGGCUUAACCUGGGAACUGCAUACGAAACGGGUUAUCUAGAGUGUGGCAGAGGAAAGUGGAAUUCCCGGUGUAGCGGUGGAAUGCGUAGAUAUCGGGAGGAACACCAGUGGCGAAGGCGACUUUCUGGGCCAACACUGACACUGAGACGCGAAAGCGUGGGUAGCGAACAGGAUUAGAUACCCGUGUAGUCC
This 274-nucleotide ribosomal RNA is filed under the name uncultured bacterium. Its description in RNAcentral is "partial 16S ribosomal RNA". It matches the Rfam family "Bacterial small subunit ribosomal RNA", at positions 523 to 796 of the family's 1533-position model. The record is from RNAcentral.